RNAcentral lists this long non-coding RNA (991 nucleotides) under Monodelphis domestica (gray short-tailed opossum). RNAcentral describes it as "lncRNA (ENSMODG00000034898.2)". The record is from RNAcentral. Lineage: Eukaryota; Metazoa; Chordata; Mammalia; Didelphimorphia; Didelphidae.
UGCGUGUCAACCAUGUGUGUCUAGAUGUAGAUUACUGAUUACAUGGCAAUUGCAUGUCCAGUGUAUUUCAGUCUCAUGACAUUCACAUGUUAAUUGAUGCCGAACACGUGUAUUCACAUGUUGAUGCUAGAGACAGUAUUAUAAAACAAGCGUAAAUGCAAUGUGUAAUUAUAGACAUGUAUCUCCCCUUUCCAAAUAGUCUUUCUUAGCUGGCACUAAUUUAAUCCUACUUCUCUGUUUUUUAGGAUUUUCUAGGACUCCUCUAGCUGCUAGAGCUUACUUCCUACCGGAGCUCGUGCCAUCUACAAAUUGUCCGUACAGCACAACUCCCACACAGCCGUCCAUUCUUGAGCUUUUCCCACACUAACAACUCUCUGUUCAGGAACUGACUAUGUCCUCACAUCUUCCUCACAUAUUAUCAAUACCGCUUUCAGAGGCAAAGGGAGUGAAAAGUAAAAAUGGAGGUGGGCAGAAAUCUAAAUUCUUUUUCUUCUCUUUGUUAAGGAGGAAAAUCGAUGGUUCAACCGUACGUCCAAAGGGCCGUCGAUUUAGACACAGCCCUGGAGUCCAGCCCCCUCCUUGCAUCAACGAGAAAACUGAGGAUUGGAAAAAUCGUGGCUUGUCUGAGGCUACAACAUUAAUGGCAUUGGAUGUGAAUGCAAAUCCUUUGACUCCAAGAGACUGGGUGUCUUCUCUGGCUCAUUUCUGUCCUCAGGGAACAAUGUAGCUUCCUCAUCCUCAUCAGCCACUUGAUGAGACUGAACAGCGUCAGCCUGACUCUCGCUUGAAUUUGUAUUAUCUUCCUACGAAAUGGCAAAUCCUCUUCGUGGCUUUCAUAUAGCAUGCAUUAGUCUUGAGCAGGGGGUGGUCUUGGCCAGUUCUCCUCCAUUUCCGUACUGCUUCCCCUCCACACAGCACCCCACAAACCAUGAUGAACGUAUGACACAAUACUCUAUAAUAAAAUCUGCAGUAAGUGUGAGAAAAUUGCCCA